RNAcentral lists this ribosomal RNA (440 nucleotides) under uncultured bacterium. RNAcentral's name for it is "partial 16S ribosomal RNA". It matches the Rfam family "Bacterial small subunit ribosomal RNA", at positions 338 to 795 of the family's 1533-position model. The record is from RNAcentral.
CCUACGGGAGGCAGCAGUAGGGAAUAUUGCGCAAUGGGCGAAAGCCUGACGCAGCAACACCGCGUGAAUGAUAAGGGCUUCGGGGUGUAAAGUUCUGUUAAUAGGGACGAAAUUUGACUGUACCUAUAAAGGAAGCACCGGCUAACUCCGUGCCAGCAGCCGCGGUAAUACGGGGGGUGCAAGCGUUGUCCGGAAUCAUGGGGCGUAAAGCGGUCGUAGGCGGCAAGGUAAGUCUGAUGUUAAAGCCCGGGGCUCAACUCCGGUUCGGCAUUGGAUACUAUCUAGCUAGAAUGUGGUAGAGGUAGAGGGAAUUCCUGGUGUAGCGGUGAAAUGCGUAGAUAUCAGGAGGAACCUCGGUGGCGAAGGCGCUUUACUGGACCAUUAUUGACGCUGAGGAACGAAAGCCCGGGGAGCAAAUAGGAUUAGAUACCCGAGUAGUC